This 573-nucleotide ribosomal RNA is filed under the name uncultured bacterium. RNAcentral's name for it is "partial 16S ribosomal RNA". It matches the Rfam family "Bacterial small subunit ribosomal RNA", at positions 355 to 920 of the family's 1533-position model. The record is from RNAcentral.
UGGGGAAUUUUGGACAAUGGGCGAAAGCCUGAUCCAGCAAUGCCGCGUGUGUGAAGAAGGCCUUCGGGUUGUAAAGCACUUUUGUCCGGAAAGAAAUCCUUGGCUCUAAUACAGUCGGGGGAUGACGGUACCGGAAGAAUAAGCACCGGCUAACUACGUGCCAGCAGCCGCGGUAAUACGUAGGGUGCAAGCGUUAAUCGGAAUUACUGGGCGUAAAGCGUGCGCAGGCGGUUUGCUAAGACCGAUGUGAAAUCCCCGGGCUCAACCUGGGAACUGCAUUGGUGACUGGCAGGCUAGAGUAUGGCAGAGGGGGGUAGAAUUCCACGUGUAGCAGUGAAAUGCGUAGAGAUGUGGAGGAAUACCGAUGGCGAAGGCAGCCCCCUGGGCCAAUACUGACGCUCAUGCACGAAAGCGUGGGGAGCAAAACAGGAUUNGAUACCCUGGUAGUCCACGCCCUAAAACGAUGUCAACUAGUUGUUGGGGAUUCAUUUCCUUAGUAACGUAGCUAACGCGUGAAGUUGACCGCCUGGGGAGUACGUCGCAAGAUUAAAACUUAAAGGAAUUGACGGGGUC